GGAUGACCUGUGGAUCGGAGUGAAAGGCUAAUCAAGCUCGGAGAUAGCUGGUUCUCCUCGAAAGCUAUUUAGGUAGCGCCUCAUGUAUCACUGUAGGGGGUAGAGCACUGUUUCGGCUAGGGGGUCAUCCCGACUUACCAAACCGAUGCAAACUCCGAAUACCUACAAGUGCCGAGCAUGGGAGACACACGGCGGGUGCUAACGUCCGUCGUGAAAAGGGAAACAACCCAGACCGUCAGCUAAGGUCCCAAAGUUAUGGUUAAGUGGGAAACGAUGUGGGAAGGCUUAGACAGCUAGGAGGUUGGCUUAGAAGCAGCCACCCUUUAAAGAAAGCGUAAUAGCUCACUAGUCGAGUCGGCCUGCGCGGAAGAUGUAACGGGGCUCAAACCAUACACCGAAGCUACGGGUAUCAUCUUCGGAUGAUGCGGUAGAGGAGCGUUCUGUAAGCCUGUGAAGGUGUGUUGAGAAGCAUGCUGGAGGUAUCAGAAGUGCGAAUGCUGACAUGAGUAACGAUAAAGCGGGUGAAAAGCCCGCUCGCCGGAAGACCAAGGGUUCCUGUCCAACGUUAAUCGGGGCAGGGUGAGUCGACCCCUAAGGCGAGGCCGAAAGGCGUAGUCGAUGGGAAACAGGUUAAUAUUCCUGUACUUCUGGUUAUUGCGAUGGAGGGACGGAGAAGGCUAGGCCAGCUUGGCGUUGGUUGUCCAAGUUUAAGGUGGUAGGCUGGAAUCUUAGGUAAAUCCGGGAUUCUAAGGCCGAGAGCUGAUGACGAGUUAUCUUUUAGAUGACGAAGUGGUUGAUGCCAUGCUUCCAAGAAAAGCUUCUAAGCUUCAGGUAACCAGGAACCGUACCCCAAACCGACACAGGUGGUUGGGUAGAGAAUACCAAGGCGCUUGAGAGAACUCGGGUGAAGGAACUAGGCAAAAUGGCACCGUAACUUCGGGAGAAGGUGCGCCGGUGAGGGUGAAGGACUUGCUCCGUAAGCUCAUGCCGGUCGAAGAUACCAGGCCGCUGCGACUGUUUAUUAAAAACACAGCACUCUGCAAACACGAAAGUGGACGUAUAGGGUGUGACGCCUGCCCG
RNAcentral lists this ribosomal RNA (1080 nucleotides) under Staphylococcus capitis. RNAcentral describes it as "partial 23S ribosomal RNA". It matches the Rfam family "Bacterial large subunit ribosomal RNA", at positions 802 to 1865 of the family's 2925-position model. Lineage: Bacteria; Bacillati; Bacillota; Bacilli; Caryophanales; Staphylococcaceae. The record is from RNAcentral.